Molecule: ribosomal RNA, 464 nt
Filed under: Streptococcus infantis
Lineage: Bacteria; Bacillati; Bacillota; Bacilli; Lactobacillales; Streptococcaceae
Description: bacterial SSU rRNA
Rfam family: Bacterial small subunit ribosomal RNA
Source: RNAcentral
GACGAACGCGGCGGCGUGCCUAAUACAUGCAAGUAGAACGCUGAAGGAAGGGGCUUGCUCUUUCCGGAUGAGUUGCGAACGGGUGAGUAACGCGUAGGUAACCUGCCUGGUAGCGGGGGAUAACUAUUGGAAACGAUAGCUAAUACCGCAUAAUAGUAGAUAUCGCAUGAUAACUGCUUAAAAGGUGCAAUUGCAUCACUACCAGAUGGACCUGCGUUGUAUUAGCUAGUUGGUGAGGUAACGGCUCACCAAGGCAACGAUACAUAGCCGACCUGAGAGGGUGAUCGGCCACACUGGGACUGAGACACGGCCCAGACUCCUACGGGAGGCAGCAGUAGGGAAUCUUCGGCAAUGGACGGAAGUCUGACCGAGCAACGCCGCGUGAGUGAAGAAGGUUUUCGGAUCGUAAAGCUCUGUUGUAAGAGAAGAACGAGUGUGAGAGUGGAAAGUUCACACUGUGACGG